RNAcentral lists this ribosomal RNA (792 nucleotides) under uncultured bacterium. RNAcentral's name for it is "bacterial SSU rRNA". It matches the Rfam family "Bacterial small subunit ribosomal RNA", at positions 8 to 795 of the family's 1533-position model. The record is from RNAcentral.
AGAGUUUGAUCCUGGCUCAGGAUGAACGCUAGCGGCAGGCUUAAUACAUGCAAGUCGAACGGUAACAGGUCCAGCAAUGGAUGCUGACGAGUGGCGCACGGGUGCGUAACACGUAUGCAACCUACCUUUAACUAAGGAAUAGCCCCGAGAAAUCGGGAUUAAUACUUUAUAAAAUUAUAGAAAAGCAUUUUUUUAUAAUUAAAGCUCCGGCGGUUAAAGAUGGGCAUGCGCGACAUUAGCUAGUUGGUAAGGUAACGGCUUACCAAGGCUGCGAUGUCUAGGGGUUCUGAGAGGAUUAACCCCCACACUGGUACUGAGACACGGACCAGACUCCUACGGGAGGCAGCAGUAAGGAAUAUUGGGCAAUGGACGCAAGUCUGACCCAGCCAUGCCGCGUGCAGGAUGAAAGCCCUAUGGGUUGUAAACUGCUUUUAUACGGGAAAAAACCCUCGCUCGUGAGCGAGGCUGAUGGUACUGUAAGAAUAAGGAUCGGCUAACUCCGUGCCAGCAGCCGCGGUAAUACGGAGGAUCCAAGCGUUAUCCGGAUUUAUUGGGUUUAAAGGGUGCGUAGGCGGAAUUGUAAGUCAGUGGUGAAAUCCUACAGCUUAACUGUAGAACGGCCAUUGAUACUGCAGAUCUUGAGUAUAUUUGAAGUGGGCGGAAUGUGUCAUGUAGCGGUGAAAUGCUUAGAUAUGACACAGAACACCGAUUGCGAAGGCAGCUCACUAAACUAUAACUGACGCUGAGGCACGAAAGCGUGGGGGGCAAACAGGAUUAGAUACCCUGGUAGUC